This 63-nucleotide transfer RNA is filed under the name Lepidurus couesii. RNAcentral's name for it is "tRNA-Gly". Lineage: Eukaryota; Metazoa; Arthropoda; Branchiopoda; Notostraca; Triopsidae. The record is from RNAcentral.
ACUUUUUUAGUAUACUUGUAUAAUUGACUUCCAAUCAAUAGGACCGUCUUUACGGAAAGAGUA